RNAcentral lists this long non-coding RNA (380 nucleotides) under Homo sapiens (human). RNAcentral's name for it is "non-protein coding lnc-OR13H1-1:1". Lineage: Eukaryota; Metazoa; Chordata; Mammalia; Primates; Hominidae. The record is from RNAcentral.
GAAAAUGAUACAAAUAUGAUGGAAUUUAUUCUGGUAGGACUGUCCAGACAGCCUGCAUCUCAGCUACUCUUCUUUUAGGCAAUAUUGUUCAUCUACUCUGUCACCCUGGUUGGUAAUAUUCUCAUCAUUGUUAUUAUCCAGAUUGAUUCCCAUCUUCAAACCCCCAUGUACUUCUUUCUCAUACAAGUAUCCUUCUUAGAUAUCUGCUCCACACCCACGGUUCUGGUGAACUGCUAGAAGGACUUUCCAAGUGUAUCCUAUAGUGGCUGCUUAUUCUAAAUGACUAUCUUUCUUUACUUAGGGGUGACGAGUGUUUUCUUAUUGCUGUUAUGGCCUAUGACAGGUUUGUUGCCAUCUCAAAACCCUUGUGUUACCCAUUC